AGGGCACCACCAGGAGUGGAGCCUGCGGCUUAAUUUGACUCAACACGGGAAAACUCACCCGGCCCGGACACCGUAAGGAUUGACAGACUGAGAGCUCUUUCUUAAUUCGGUGGGUGGUGGUGCAUGGCCGUUCUUAGUUGGUGGAGCGAUUUGUCUGGUUAAUUCCGAUAACGAACGAGACUCUGACCUAUUAAAUAGACGGUAUAUCGAAAAGUAUAUCGCACUUCUUAGAGGGACAAGCGGCGUCUAGCCGCAUGAAAUAGAGCAAUAACAGGUCUGUGAUGCCCUUAGAUGUCCGGGGCUGCACGCGCGCUACACUGAAAGAAUCAGAGUGCGCUUUGCCUAGUUCGGAAGAACUGGGUAACCCAAGUAAAUUCUUUCGUGCUUGGGAUAGGGAAUUGCAAUUAUUUCCCUUAAACGAGGAAUUCCCAGUAAAUGCGGGUCAUAAGCUCGCGCUGAUUACGUCCCCGCCCUUUGUACACACCGCCCGUCGCUACUACCGAUUGGAUGACUUAGUGA
RNAcentral lists this ribosomal RNA (519 nucleotides) under uncultured eukaryote. RNAcentral describes it as "SSU rRNA". It matches the Rfam family "Eukaryotic small subunit ribosomal RNA", at positions 1161 to 1704 of the family's 1831-position model. The record is from RNAcentral.